This 240-nucleotide ribosomal RNA is filed under the name uncultured bacterium. Its description in RNAcentral is "partial 16S ribosomal RNA". It matches the Rfam family "Bacterial small subunit ribosomal RNA", at positions 524 to 763 of the family's 1533-position model. The record is from RNAcentral.
UACGUAGGUGGCAAGCGUUGUCCGGAUUUACUGGGUGUAAAGGGCGUGCAGCCGGGCUGACAAGUCAGAUGUGAAAUCCCGCGGCUUAACCGCGGAACUGCAUUUGAAACUGUUGGUCUUGAGUAUCGGAGAGGCAGGCGGAAUUCCUAGUGUAGCGGUGAAAUGCGUAGAUAUUAGGAGGAACACCAGUGGCGAAGGCGGCCUGCUGGACGACAACUGACGGUGAGGCGCGAAAGCGUG